UUCUGAAGCGAGUUAUGCGCCUUUGAAGUUGGAGGUGAGACGGCAGAGAAGCAGACAGUCGUUUUCUCUGCCGUCUCUCAUUCUCUCAAAUCUAACUUUGAAGGCGCAUAACUCCCUUAAACA
Molecule: small RNA, 123 nt
Filed under: Caenorhabditis brenneri
Lineage: Eukaryota; Metazoa; Nematoda; Chromadorea; Rhabditida; Rhabditidae
Description: sRNA CBN34326
Source: RNAcentral